Podarcis lilfordi (Lilford's wall lizard) is the source of this 71-nucleotide non-coding RNA. The record is from the annotation of a GenBank genome assembly. NCBI's taxonomy places the organism in Eukaryota, Metazoa, Chordata, Lepidosauria, Squamata, Lacertidae.
GGGCUGUAGCUCAACGGAAGAGCAUCUGCUUUGCAUGCAAAAUGUCUCUGGUUCAACCCCCGGCAGCAUCU